Molecule: ribosomal RNA, 366 nt
Filed under: uncultured bacterium
Lineage: Bacteria
Description: bacterial SSU rRNA
Rfam family: Bacterial small subunit ribosomal RNA
Source: RNAcentral
AACGAACGCUGGCGGCAUGCCUAACACAUGCAAGUCGGACGAAGCCUUCGGGCUUAGUGGCGCACGGGUGCGUAACGCGUGGGAAUCUGCCCUUAGGUACGGAAUAACUCAGGGAAACUUGUGCUAAUACCGUAUGAUGUCGAGAGACCAAAGAUUUAUCGCCUAGGGAUGAGCCCGCGUAGGAUUAGCUAGUUGGUGGGUAAAGGCCUACCAAGGCGACGAUCCUUAGCUGGUCUGAGAGGAUGAUCAGCCACACUGGGACUGAGACACGGCCCAGACUCCUACGGGAGGCAGCAGUGGGGAAUAUUGGACAAUAGGGCGAAAGCCUGAUCCAGCAAUGCCGCGUGAGUGAAGAAGGCCUCGGUU